RNAcentral lists this ribosomal RNA (292 nucleotides) under uncultured Alphaproteobacteria bacterium. Its description in RNAcentral is "partial 16S ribosomal RNA". The record is from RNAcentral. Lineage: Bacteria; Pseudomonadati; Pseudomonadota; Alphaproteobacteria.
GGACUACUGGGGUAUCUAAUCCUGUUUGAUCCCCACGCUGUCGCGCCUGAGCGUCAGAAAUGAGCCAGUGAGCCGCCUUCGCCACCGGUGUUCUUCCCAAUAUCUACGAAUUUCACCUCUACACUGGGAAUUCCACUCACCUCUCUCAUCCUCAAGUCUUACAGUUUCAAUGGCAAUUCCGGAGUUGAGCUCCGGGCUUUCACCACUGACUUGAAAGACCGCCUGCGCGCGCUUUACGCCCAGUAAUUCCGAACAACGCUAGCCCCCUUCGUAUUACCGCGGCUGCUGGCAC